RNAcentral lists this ribosomal RNA (484 nucleotides) under uncultured bacterium. Its description in RNAcentral is "partial 16S ribosomal RNA". It matches the Rfam family "Bacterial small subunit ribosomal RNA", at positions 30 to 507 of the family's 1533-position model. The record is from RNAcentral.
AUUGAACGCUGGCGGCAGGCCUAACACAUGCAAGUCGAGCAGAUGAAGGGAGCUUGCUCCUGGAUUCAGCGGCGGACGGGUGAGUAAUGCCUAGGAAUCUGCCUGGUAGUGGGGGAUAACGUCCGGAAACGGGCGCUAAUACCGCAUACGUCCUGAGGGAGAAAGUGGGGGAUCUUCGGACCUCACGCUAUCGGAUGAGCCUAGGUCGGAUUAGCUAGUUGGUGGGGUAAAGGCCUACCAAGGCGACGAUCCGUAACUGGUCUGAGAGGAUGAUCAGUCACACUGGAACUGAGACACGGUCCAGACUCCUACGGGAGGCAGCAGUGGGGAAUAUUGGACAAUGGGCGAAAGCCUGAUCCAGCCAUGCCGCGUGUGUGAAGAAGGUCUUCGGAUUGUAAAGCACUUUAAGUUGGGAGGAAGGGCAGUAAGUUAAUACCUUGCUGUUUUGACGUUACCAACAGAAUAAGCACCGGCUAACUUCGUG